UACGUAGGGGGCAAGCGUUGUCCGGAUUUAUUGGGCGUAAAGAGCGUGUAGGCGGUCCGGUAAGUCCGCUGUGAAAGUCGGGGGCUCAACCCUCGAAUGCCGGUGGAUACUGUCGGGCUAGAGUGCGGAAGAGGCGAGUGGAAUUCCGGGUGUAGCGGUUGGAAUGCGUAGAGAUCCGGAAGAACACCGGUGGCGAAGGCGGUCUGCUGGGGCAGUUGCUGACACUGAGGCGCGACAGCGUGGGGGAGCAAAACAGG
This 257-nucleotide ribosomal RNA is filed under the name uncultured bacterium. RNAcentral describes it as "partial 16S ribosomal RNA". It matches the Rfam family "Bacterial small subunit ribosomal RNA", at positions 524 to 776 of the family's 1533-position model. The record is from RNAcentral.